Molecule: ribosomal RNA, 497 nt
Filed under: uncultured bacterium
Lineage: Bacteria
Description: partial 16S ribosomal RNA
Rfam family: Bacterial small subunit ribosomal RNA
Source: RNAcentral
GAUGAACGCUGGCGGCGUGCCUAAUACAUGCAAGUCGAGCGAACAGACGAGGAGCUUGCUCCUCUGACGUUAGCGGCGGACGGGUGAGUAACACGUGGAUAACCUACCUAUAAGACUGGGAUAACUUCGGGAAACCGGAGCUAAUACCGGAUAAUAUAUUGAACCGCAUGGUUCAAUAGUUAAAGACGGUUUUGCUGUCUCUUAUAGAUGGAUCCGCGCCGCAUUAGCUAGUUGGUAAGGUAACGGCUUACCAAGGCAACGAUGCGUAGCCGACCUGAGAGGGUGAUCGGACAAACGGGAAAUGAGAAACGGACCAGACACCUACGGGAGGCAGCAGUAGGGAAUAUUCCGCAAUGGGCGAAAGCAUGACGGAGCAACGCCGCGUGAGUGAUGAAGGUCUUCGGAUCGUAAAACUCUGUUAUUAGGGAAGAACAAAUGUGUAAGUAACUAUGCACGUCUUGACGGUACCUAAUCAGAAAGCCACGGCUAACUACGUG